CUCAGCUGCUCUUUCUGACUUUGGGGAGUCUUCACCCUCUGGUUGUGAUUUCCUUACUAGCUAAGCAAGUUCUGGCCUGAUAAGUACUUGGAUGGUAAAUCUCUAGGAAAGCAUAGAGGAAGCUGAGC
This 128-nucleotide ribosomal RNA is filed under the name Chelonoidis abingdonii (Abingdon island giant tortoise). The record is from RNAcentral. Lineage: Eukaryota; Metazoa; Chordata; Testudines; Testudinidae.